GGUAAUGAAAUCGCUGAUAAGUCUGCUAACAUAGCCACAACACUCCCCAUGCCAGGACAACCAGGAAGAUCCCUCGGACC
RNAcentral lists this non-coding RNA (80 nucleotides) under Eutreptiella gymnastica. The record is from RNAcentral. Lineage: Eukaryota; Euglenozoa; Euglenophyceae; Eutreptiales; Eutreptiaceae.